UACUUAAAGGAGGGUGAUAAGAAAUACGUGUGGCAUAGGCUGGGGAGGAAAAGAGAGCUAAGCGAUCAUUUUCUAAAGUGGAAAAUUCAGCGAUAAUACCUAAAACUAAACACUCCACAGGCAGCAAUUUAAGUGUAGUAUUAGAGAUAUGGAAGAAAAUACCCCCAACAUUAGCUAAAAAGGAGAAAAACAGUUGCUUUUAUAAAGAGGAAUUUAUAAGGAGGUGGGUAAGAACAUUUUUUUAAAUGAGGUUUUAAAUUUUUUUUUUUUUUGAGACAGAGUCUCGCUCUGUUGCCCAGGCUGGAGUGCAGUGGUGCGAUCUCAGCUCACUGCAAGCUCCGCCUCCCGGGUUCACGCCAUUCUCCUGCCUCAGCCUCCCGAGUAGCUGGGACUACAGGUGCCCGCCACCAUGCCUGGCUAAUUUUUUGUAUUUUUAGUAGAGAUGGGGUUUCACCGUGUUAUCCAGGAUGGUCUUGAUCUCUUGACCUCGUGAUCCACCCGCCUCGGCCUCCCAAAGUGCUGGGAUUACAGGCGUGAGCCACCACACCCGGCAAAAAAUUUUUAAUUUUUAUUGUUUUAAUAAAAGAGACGGGUCUUGCCAUAUUGCCUAGGGUGGUCUCAAACUCCUGGGCUCAAGUGAUCCUCCUGCCUUGGCUUCCCAAAGUGUUGGGAUUACAGGUGUGAGCCAACAUCCCCAGCUCACCAAAGUUGACCAUAAUAAUA
RNAcentral lists this unclassified non-coding RNA (723 nucleotides) under Homo sapiens (human). The record is from RNAcentral. Lineage: Eukaryota; Metazoa; Chordata; Mammalia; Primates; Hominidae.